UGUUUUUGGGUUUGUUGGCAUUAGCCUCAGAACAAAGAGACCCUACAAGUUUAUAGAUAGGGGACUGUCCCUGGUGAUGGUGAGCAAGCUCGGCCUUCGGGAUCCGAGAAGCCUAAAGUCGCUAAAUGGUCGCCCACCUUAAAUAACAUGGGUCUCUUGGAUUCUUCGAGCGCGCCACAAACCCUUU
RNAcentral lists this non-coding RNA (187 nucleotides) under Pseudobdellovibrionaceae bacterium. RNAcentral's name for it is "Bdellovibrionaceae bacterium (bioreactor metagenome) 6S RNA". It matches the Rfam family "6S / SsrS RNA". Rfam says of the family: E. coli 6S RNA was the first non coding RNA to be sequenced, but its function was unknown until recently. It consists of 184 nucleotides that fold into an extended hairpin structure with a large single-stranded internal bulge. The record is from RNAcentral. Lineage: Bacteria; Pseudomonadati; Bdellovibrionota; Bdellovibrionia; Bdellovibrionales; Pseudobdellovibrionaceae.